GACGAAGGGGGCAAGCGUUGUUCGGAAUUACUGGGCGUAAAGGGCGCGUAGGCGGUUCUUUAAGUCAGGCGUGAAAGCCCUGGGCUCAACCUGGGAGUGGCGCUUGAUACUGGGGGACUAGAGAGUGGGAGAGGUUGGUGGAAUUCCCAGUGUAGAGGUGAAAUUCGUAGAUAUUGGGAAGAACACCGGUGGCGAAGGCGGCCAACUGGACCAUUUCUGACGCUGAGGCGCGAAAGCGUGGGGAGCAAACAGG
RNAcentral lists this ribosomal RNA (253 nucleotides) under uncultured bacterium. RNAcentral describes it as "partial 16S ribosomal RNA". It matches the Rfam family "Bacterial small subunit ribosomal RNA", at positions 524 to 776 of the family's 1533-position model. The record is from RNAcentral. RNAcentral also lists the same sequence under 1 other name.